RNAcentral lists this ribosomal RNA (827 nucleotides) under uncultured bacterium. RNAcentral describes it as "bacterial SSU rRNA". It matches the Rfam family "Bacterial small subunit ribosomal RNA", at positions 8 to 846 of the family's 1533-position model. The record is from RNAcentral.
AGAGUUUGAUCAUGGCUCAGGACGAACGCUAGCGGCGUGCCUAAGAAAUGCAAGUCGAGCGAGGUUAUUGGGGCUUGCCCCGAUAGCUUAGCGGCGAACGGUCGCGUAACACGUAAGCAACCUGCCCUGAAGUGGGGGAUAGCCCGCCGAAAGGCGGAUUAAUACCGCAUGUGGAUAUAUGUUCGCAUGUAUAUGUAUCCAAAGCAGCAAUGCGCUUCAGGAUGGGCUUGCGGCCUAUCAGCUAGUUGGUGUGGGUAACGGCUCACCAAGGCGACGACGGGUAGCUGGUCUGAGAGGAUGGUCAGCCGGACUGGGACUGAGACACGGCCCAGACUCCUACGGGGGGCAGCAAUUAGGAAUCUUGCGCAAUGGGCGAAAGCCUGACGCAGCGACGCCGCGUGACCGAUGAAGUCCUUCGGGAUGUAGAGGUCUUUUUUGAGGGAAGAUAAUGACGGUACCUCAAGAAUAAGCCCCGGCUAACUACGUGCCAGCAGCCGCGGUAAUACGUAGGGGGCGAGCGUUGUCCGAAUUCACUGGGCGUAAAGCGCGCGUAGGCGGACUAUUAAGUUGGUGGUGAGAUUCCGAGGCUCAACCUCGGAACUGCCUCCAAGACUGGUGGUCUUGAGGUAUGGAGAGGGAAGUGGAAUUCCAGGUGUAGCGGUGAAAUGCGUAGAUAUCUGGAGGAACACCUGUGGCGAAGGCGGCUUCCUGGUCAUAUCCUGACGCUGAGGUGCGAAAGCUAGGGGAGCGAACGGGAUUAGAUACCCCGGUAGUCCUAGCCGUAAACGAUGGAUACUAGGUGUUAGAGGUAUCGACCCCUCUAGUGC